RNAcentral lists this ribosomal RNA (498 nucleotides) under uncultured bacterium. Its description in RNAcentral is "partial 16S ribosomal RNA". It matches the Rfam family "Bacterial small subunit ribosomal RNA", at positions 28 to 523 of the family's 1533-position model. The record is from RNAcentral.
GAUGAACGCUAGCUACAGGCUUAACACAUGCAAGUCGAGGGGUAGCAGGGUAGCAAUACCGCUGACGACCGGCGCACGGGUGAGUAACACGUAUCCAACCUUCCCAUAACUCGGGGAUAGCCUUUCGAAAGAAAGAUUAAUACCAGAUAGUACUUAACAAAGGAAUCUUUGAUAAGUUAAAGAUUUAUUGGUUAUGGAUGGGGAUGCGUUCCAUUAGAUAGUUUGUGAGGUAUAGGCUCACCAAGUCUUCGAUGGAUAGGGGUUCUGAGAGGAAGGUCCCCCACAUUGGUACUGAGACACGGACCAAACUCCUACGGGAGGCAGCAGUGAGGAAUAUUGGUCAAUGGGCGAGAGCCUGAACCAGCCAAGUAGCGUGAAGGAUGAAGGUCCUAUGGAUUGUAAACUUCUUUUAUAGUAGAAUAAAGUGAUCCACGUGUGGAUUUUUGUAUGUAUACUAUGAAUAAGGAUCGGCUAACUCCGUGCCAGCAGCCGCGGUAA